RNAcentral lists this ribosomal RNA (317 nucleotides) under Bacillus subtilis. Its description in RNAcentral is "bacterial SSU rRNA". It matches the Rfam family "Bacterial small subunit ribosomal RNA", at positions 845 to 1163 of the family's 1533-position model. Lineage: Bacteria; Bacillati; Bacillota; Bacilli; Caryophanales; Bacillaceae. The record is from RNAcentral.
GCUGCAGCUAACGCAUUAAGCACUUCCCCUGGGGAGUACGGUCGCAAGACUGAAACUCAAAGGAAUUGACGGGGGCCCGCACAAGCGGUGGAGCAUGUGGUUUAAUUCGAAGCAACGCGAAGAACCUUACCAGGUCUUGACAUCCUCUGACAAUCCUAGAGAUAGGACGUCCCCUUCGGGGGCAGAGUGACAGGUGGUGCAUGGUUGUCGUCAGCUCGUGUCGUGAGAUGUUGGGUUAAGUCCCGCAACGAGCGCAACCCUUGAUCUUAGUUGCCAGCAUUCAGUUGGGCACUCUAAGGUGACUGCCGGUGACAAAC